Molecule: small nucleolar RNA, 88 nt
Filed under: Solanum lycopersicum (tomato)
Lineage: Eukaryota; Viridiplantae; Streptophyta; Magnoliopsida; Solanales; Solanaceae
Description: Small nucleolar RNA snoR14
Rfam family: Small nucleolar RNA snoR14
Source: Rfam by way of RNAcentral
ACGACGUGAUGAUAGAAUUCAUAAGUCUGUCAAUCCACUGAAAUACAUUUCAUGAUGUAAAGUGUGAAUCCCGACAGGUUCUGAUCGU